This 879-nucleotide long non-coding RNA is filed under the name Salmo salar (Atlantic salmon). RNAcentral describes it as "lncRNA (ENSSSAG00000112561.1)". Lineage: Eukaryota; Metazoa; Chordata; Actinopteri; Salmoniformes; Salmonidae. The record is from RNAcentral.
GUUAGGGUCUAUAGGGAGAAUAUAACUAGACCAGAGUUAUAGUUAGGGCCUAUAGGGAAGAUAUAACUAGACCAGGACCAAAGUUAUAGUUAGGGCCUAUAGGGAGGAUAUAACUAGACCAGAGAUAUAGUUAGGGUCUAUAGGGAGAAUAUAACUAGACCAGAGUUAUAGUUAGGGCCUAUAGGGAGGAUAUAACUAGACCAGGACCAGAGUUAUAGUUAGGGCCUAUAGGGAGGAUAUAACUAGACCAGAGUUACAGUUAGGGCCUAUAGGGAGGAUAUAACUAGACCAGGACCAGAGGUAUAGUUAAGGCCUAUAGGGAGGAUAUAACUAGACCAGGACCAGAGUUAUAGUUAGGGCCUAUAGGGAGAAUAUAACUAGACCAGGACCAGAGUUAAAGUUAGGGCCUAUAGGGAGGAUAUAACUAGAACAUGACCAGAGUUAUAGUUAGGGUCUAUAGGGAGAAUAUAACUAGACCAGAGUUAUAGUUAGGGCCUAUAGGGAGGAUAUAACUAGACCAGGACCAAAGUUAUAGUUAGGGCCUAUAGAGAGGAUAUAACUAGACCAGAGAUAUAGUUAGGGCCUAUAUGGAGGAUAUAACUAGACCAGGACCAGAGUUAUAGUUGGGGCCUAUGGGGAGGAUAUAACUAGACCAGGACCAGAGUUAUGGUUGGGGUCUAUAGGGAGAAUAUAACUGGACCAGGACCAGAGCUAUAGUUAGGGUCUAUAGGGAGAAUAUAACUAGACCAGGACCAGAGUUAUAGUUAGGGCCUAUCGUGAGAAUAUAACUAGAACAGAGUUAUAGUUGGUGCCUAUAGGGAGGAUAUAACUAGACCAGGACCCAGAGUUAUAGUUGGGGCCUAUAGGGAGGAUAUAACU